RNAcentral lists this long non-coding RNA (2262 nucleotides) under Echeneis naucrates (live sharksucker). RNAcentral describes it as "lncRNA (ENSENLG00000013465.1)". Lineage: Eukaryota; Metazoa; Chordata; Actinopteri; Carangiformes; Echeneidae. The record is from RNAcentral.
CCAAGGCUCUCUUCUGACCAAGAGAGGGACAAGUCCACUGAAGAGGCUUAUCCUGUUGACGUUAUCUGCAUGUCCUCAAAAUGCAAUUCUGGCACCUUCUGUGGCAAGAGUGGAGAUUCCAUUAAGGAAGACCAUUUGGGACCAAUGCCAACUUCCCAUUCAACAUACGAAAAUACGAGUGACAGGAUUACAACUGAACAGCCAAAGGAGCUCUCCGACAACCAGCAAGCAAUAAAUGAACAGCCUCCAAUUUACUGUAACUCUACCAAGCCAACCAUAAUCCAAUCUAACACACACCAUUACUCUAAACAGUCCACAGAAUCACAAGGUGAGGAAUUCAUUUAUUAUGUACAGCAUGCAGAAAGUCCAUCUGAAGAGUAUGAUAAUUUCCUACAGACAGCUGCCCAUGCAGAUGAGUUUUGUCAUUUUUCACAAACUUCAGCAGUUGAAUCAGAGCAGCUACGUCGCUCAAUACAAACACCAACUGUCCAGUCAGAGCUAGGAAACCCUUUGCAUAUCUCAGAUGUCCAGUCAGAAAACAUUACUAAGCACUUACAGAUCUCAACAGUAAUGUCGGACAAGCCCUGUAACUCCUUAAAAACUGUAGCUCUGCAGUCAGAGGAGCCCUUUGCACCCUUACAUACAGCAACUGUCCAAUCAGAGGAGCCCCUCGCAUCCUUACAUAGCACAACUGUCCAAUCAAAGGAGCCAUUUGCAGCCUUAAAUACAUCAAAUAUCCAAUCAGAGGAGCCCCUCGCAUCCUUACAUAGCACAACUGUCCAAUCAGAGGAGCCCUUUGCAGCCUUAAAUACAUCAAAUAUCCAAUCAGAGGAGGCCUUUGCACCCUUACGUACAUCAACAGUCCAAUCAGAGGAGGCCUUUGCACCCUUACAUAGCACAACUGUCCAGUCUGAGGAAAGAUUUACAUCUUUACAUCACACAACUUUCCAAACAGAGGAACGUUUUACAUCUUUACAUCACACAACUGUCCAGUCAGAGGAACCUUUUACAUCUUCACACAACACAACUGUCCAAACAGAGGAACCAUUUACAUCUUUACACAACACAACUGUCCAGUCACAGGAACCAUUUACAUGCUUACAUAACACAACUGUCCAGUCAGAAGACCAAUUUACAUCUUUACACAACACAACUGUCCAGUCACAGGAACCAUUUAGGUCCUUACAUAACACAACUGGCCAGCCAGAAGACCCAUUUGCAUCUUUACACAACAAAACUGUCCAGUCAGAAGACCCAUUUACAUCUUUACAUAACAAAUCUGCCCAAUCAGAAGAACCAUUUACAUGCGUCCAUAACACAACUGUCCUGUCAGGGAGGCCCUUUGAAUCCUUGCAGACUGGAAAUAUCGAAUCAGAGGAGCACUUAACUUCCUUACAUAUCACAACUGUCCAGUCAAAAGAGCCUUUUAAACCCUUACAGACAAUUGUCCAACCAGAUGAACUCUGUGGCUCCAUGCCGAUGCCAGCUGUCCUUUCAGAGAACCUUCUUGAUUGCUCACAAACUGAAACUACCUGUUCAGAGGGUCUGGACAACUCCUCAGGGACUGCAGGCAACAAGUCAGAGAAAUUAAACAAUGACUUCCCAAACACCACAUCCCCUGAUUCACUGGACUUGUGUCACUCCAAAGAUGCAGAAACUGUCCAACCAGGGGAGCAUUACAGCUUAAGUCAGCUUGCACACGUGAAAAUGGAUGGCCUCUAUCUCACAAGACAAGAAGUGCCAACCCAUUCAGAGGUGGUGUGUCAGCCCGUACAGACAACAACAAUCCAAGCUGAGUGUCCUAAUAUCAUGGAGGCCACAGAAGAGCAAGCAGACAGCACAGUUAUCGCUGGACAAAGAUCGCCUACUCAGAGUGCAGGGUCUUACUAUAUCAAGAAAGCAUCUUCAGUCCAAUUGGAGGAAAUCUAUCUAUCAAGAACAUGUGACAGUCACUGGAGUGACAGUGUCACUGCAAAUAAGCUCCGCCUGUGACAAUUACAACGCUUUGUGAGGAUGAGAGGAACAAGUCUGUUGAAGUUGAUGAACCCAUAGUACUACAAUGCAAGGUAUCAGAUCCUAAUGCUCAAGUUACUUGGUACAAGGACGGAAUAAGACUACAAGGUGCAGCUGGUCAAGACAUGGUGGCAGAGGGUUCCAUGAGAACAUUGGCUUUCCAGUCAGCGAUGGUGUCUCAUGCAGGGAUAUACAGCUGCAAGACAACAGACGAUGCAAUGCAGUUUCAUGUGGAUGUCAAAGGUGACA